This 986-nucleotide ribosomal RNA is filed under the name uncultured bacterium. RNAcentral describes it as "bacterial SSU rRNA". It matches the Rfam family "Bacterial small subunit ribosomal RNA", at positions 28 to 1011 of the family's 1533-position model. The record is from RNAcentral.
GACGAACGCUGGCGGCGUGCUUAACACAUGCAAGUCGAGCGAUGAAGUUUCUUCGGAAAUGGAUUAGCGGCGAACGGGUGAGGAACACGUGAAGAAUCUGCCCUCCACUUUGGGAUAACACCGGGAAACCGGUGCUAAUACUGAAUAUUGAAACAUAAGUGGCAUCACUGAGUUUUGAAAGAAUUUCGGUGGAGGAUGACUUCGCGGCCUAUCAGCUAGUUGGUGAGGUAAUGGCUCACCAAGGCAACGACGGGUAGCCGGCCUGAGAGGGCGACCGGCCACACUGGGACUGAGACACGGCCCAGACUCCUACGGGAGGCAGCAGUGGGGAAUAUUGGACAAUGGGCGCAAGCCUGAUCCAGCCAUGCCGCGUGCAGGAUGACGGUCCUAUGGAUUGUAAACUGCUUUUAUACAGGAAGAAACACCUCUACGUGUAGAGACUUGACGGUACUGUAAGAAUAAGGAUCGGCUAACUCCGUGCCAGCAGCCGCGGUAAUACAUAGGGUGCAAGCGUUGUCCGGAAUUAUUGGGCGUAAAGAGCUCGUAGGUCGUUUGUUACGUCGGAUGUGAAAACCUGAGGCUCAACCUCAGGCCUGCAUUCGAUACGGGCAAACUAGAGUUUGGUAGGGGAGACUGGAAUUCCUGGUGUAGCGGUGGAAUGCGCAGAUAUCAGGAGGAACACCAAUGGCGAAGGCAGGUCUCUGGGCCAAUACUGACACUGAGGAGCGAAAGUCUGGGGAGCGAACAGGAUUAGAUACCCUGGUAGUCCAGACCGUAAACGGUGGGCACUAGUUGUGGGAACCUUCCACGGUUUCUGCGACGCAGCUAACGCAUUAAGUGCCCCGCCUGGGGAGUACGAUCGCAAGAUUAAAACUCAAAGGAAUUGACGGGGCCCCGCACAAGCAGCGGAGCAUGCGGCUUAAUUCGACGCAACGCGAAGAACCUUACCAAGGCUUGACAUAUAGGGAAAAGUGGCAGAGAUGUCA